GCCAGAGAGGGUGAGAGCCCCGUAAGCGAAAUCCAAAGAAGGCCUAUCAGUAUCCUGAGUAGGGCGGGACACGUGAAAUCCCGUUUGAAUCCGCGAGGACCAUCUCGCAAGGCUAAAUACUAACCAGUGACCGAUAGUGAACCAGUACCGUGAGGGAAAGGUGAAAAGAACCCCGGGAGGGGAGUGAAAGAGAACCUGAAACCGUGUGCCUACAAGUAGUCAGAGCCCGUUAACGGGUAAUGGCGUGCCUUUUGUAGAAUGAACCGGCGAGUUGCGUUAGUCAGCAAGGUUAAGUCAGAAAAGACGGAGCCGUAGCGAAAGCGAGUCUGAAGAGGGCGAGCAGUUGGCUGACGCAGACCCGAAACCAAGUGACCUACCCAUGACCAGGUUGAAGGCGCGGUAAAACGCGCUGGAGGACCGAACCCACGUAAGUUGAAAAUUGCGGGGAUGAGUUGUGGGUAGCGGUGAAAUUCCAAACGAACUUGGAGAUAGCUGGUUCUCUCCGAAAUAGCUUUAGGGCUAGCCUCGCAAAGAGGAUGCUGGAGGUAGAGCUCUGUUUGGACUAGGGGCCCGUCAAGGGUUACUGAAUUCAGAUAAACUGCGAAUUCCAGACAUUUAUGUGCGGGAGUCAGACUGCGAGUGAUAAGAUCCGUAGUCGAAAGGGAAACAGCCCAGAUCACCAGUUAAGGUCCCAAAAUUCAUGCUAAGUGGAAAAGGAUGUGGAGUUGCGCAGACAACUAGGACGUUGGCUCAGAAGCAGCCAUCAUUCAAAGAGUGCGUAAUAGCUCACUAGUCGAGUGACGCCGCGCCGAAAAUUUACCGGGGCUAAGCAUGAUACCGAAACUGUGGAUGUGCGUUUAUGCACGUGGUAGGAGAGCGUUCUAGCGGCGGUGAAGCAUGACCGAGAGGACAUGUGGAGCUUCUAGAAGUGAGAAUGCCGGUAUGAGUAACGAAAGACAGGUGAGAAUCCUGUCCGCCGCAAGACUAAGGUUUCCUGGGGCAGGCUCGUCCGCCCAGGGUAAGUCGGGACCUAAGGCGAGGCCGAGAGGCGUAGUCGAUGGACAACAGGUUGAAAUUCCUGUACUGCACCGAAUCGUUAUGAGCGAUGGAGGGACGCAGGAGGCUAGCAGCGCGUGGUGCUGGAUACCACGUUCAAGCGUCAAGUCUGAGAGCGAGUCAAAUGCUUGCUCUCAUAAGGACAAGGCGUGAUGAGGAGCGAAAUUAAAGUAGCGAAGGCUGCGACGUCACACUGCCGAGAAAAGCUUCUAGCCAGAGACGGUGCACCCGUACCGCAAACCGACACAGGUAGUCGAGGAGAGUAUCCUCAGGUGAGCGAGAGAACUCUCGUUAAGGAACUCGGCAAAAUGGCCCCGUAACUUCGGGAGAAGGGGCGCUGGUCGCAAGAUCAGCCGCAGUGAAAAGGCCCAAGCAACUGUUUAUCAAAAACACAGGCAUCUGCAAAAUCGUAAGAUGAAGUAUAGGUGCUGACACCUGCCCGGUGCUGGAAGGUUAAGAGGAGAGCUUAGCGCAAGCGAAGGUUUGAAUUGAAGCCCCAGUAAACGGCGGCCGUAACUAUAACGGUCCUAAGGUAGCGAAAUUCCUUGUCGGGUAAGUUCCGACCUGCACGAAAGGUGUAAUGAUUUGGGCACUGUCUCAACGAGAGACUCGGUGAAAUUAUAAUACCCGUGAAGAUGCGGGUUACCCGCGACAGGACGGAAAGACCCCAUGGAGCUUUACUGCAGUUUAAUAUUGGGUAUCUGUCAAGCAUGUACAGGAUAGGUAGGAGCCGGAGAAGAUAGGACGCCAGUCUUAUCUGAGGCGCUGUUGGGAUACUACCCUUGCUUGACGGAUGCUCUAACUUAGGCCUGUGAUCCAGGCCGAGGACAGUGUUUGACGGGCAGUUUGACUGGGGCGGUCGCCUCCUAAAGUGUAACGGAGGCGCCCAAAGGUUCCCUCAGAAUGGUUGGAAAUCAUUCGCAGAGUGUAAAGGUAAAAGGGAGCUUGACUGCGAGAGAGACAACUCGAGCAGGUACGAAAGUAGGGCUUAGUGAUCUGGUGGUACCGCAUGGAAGGGCCAUCACUCAACGGAUAAAAGCUACCCUGGGGAUAACAGGCUUAUCUCCCCCAAGAGUUCACAUCGACGGGGAGGUUUGGCACCUCGAUGUCGGCUCGUCGCAUCCUGGGGCUGAAGUCGGUCCCAAGGGUUGGGCUGUUCGCCCAUUAAAGCGGCACGCGAGCUGGGUUCAGAACGUCGUGAGACAGUUCGGUCCCUAUCCGUCGUGGGCGCAGGAAAUUUGAGAGGAGCUGUCCUUAGUACGAGAGGACCGGGAUGGACGCACCGCUGGUGUACCAGUUGUCUUGCCAAAGGCAUCGCUGGGUAGCUAUGUGCGGACGGGAUAAGCGCUGAAAGCAUCUAAGUGCGAAGCCCCCCUCAAGAUGAGAUUUCCCAUUUCUUCAAGAAAGUAAGACACCUCAGAGACGAUGAGGUAGAUAGGCCGGGAGUGGAAGAGCCGUGAGGCUUGGAGCGGACCGGUACUAAUCAGUCGAGGACUUGACCAAA
RNAcentral lists this ribosomal RNA (2560 nucleotides) under Lactobacillus delbrueckii subsp. bulgaricus ATCC BAA-365. Its description in RNAcentral is "bacterial LSU rRNA". It matches the Rfam family "Bacterial large subunit ribosomal RNA", at positions 354 to 2925 of the family's 2925-position model. Lineage: Bacteria; Bacillati; Bacillota; Bacilli; Lactobacillales; Lactobacillaceae. The record is from RNAcentral.